Molecule: ribosomal RNA, 301 nt
Filed under: uncultured bacterium
Lineage: Bacteria
Description: partial 16S ribosomal RNA
Rfam family: Bacterial small subunit ribosomal RNA
Source: RNAcentral
CAGUCGCCACGGGAAUACGGAGGGUGCAAGCGUUAUCCGGAUUUAUUGGGUUUAAAGGGUCCGUAGGCGGAUCUGUAAGUCAGUGGUGAAAUCUCACAGCUUAACUGUGAAACUGCCAUUGAUACUGCAGGUCUUGAGUAAAUUUGAAGUGGCUGGAAUAAGUAGUGUAGCGGUGAAAUGCAUAGAUAUUACUUAGAACACCAAUUGCGAAGGCAGGUCACUAAGAUUUAACUGACGCUGAUGGACGAAAGCGUGGGGAGCGAACAGGAUUAGAUACCCGCGUAGUCCCUGUCUCUUAUAC